UACAGAGGGUGCAAGCGUUAAUCGGAUUUACUGGGCGUAAAGGGCGCGUAGGUGGUUACGUAAGUGAGAUGUGAAAGCCCCGGGCUCAACCUGGGAACUGCAUCUUAUACUGCGUAGCUGGAGUGAAGUAGAGGAUAGUGGAAUUUCCGGUGUAGCGGUGAAAUGCGUAGAUAUCGGAAGGAACACCAGUGGCGAAGGCGGCUAUCUGGACUUACACUGACACUGAGGCGCGAAAGCGUGGGUAGCAAACAGG
RNAcentral lists this ribosomal RNA (253 nucleotides) under uncultured bacterium. Its description in RNAcentral is "partial 16S ribosomal RNA". It matches the Rfam family "Bacterial small subunit ribosomal RNA", at positions 524 to 776 of the family's 1533-position model. The record is from RNAcentral.